GACGAACGCUGGCGGCGUGCUUAACACAUGCAAGUCGAACGGAAAGGCCCUGCUUUUGUGGGGUGCUCGAGUGGCGAACGGGUGAGUAACACGUGAGUAACCUGCCCUUGACUUUGGGAUAACUUCAGGAAACUGGGGCUAAUACCGGAUAGGAGCUCCUGCUGCAUGGUGGGGGUUGGAAAGUUUCGGCGGUUGGGGAUGGACUCGCGGCUUAUCAGCUUGUUGGUGGGGUAGUGGCUUACCAAGGCUUUGACGGGUAGCCGGCCUGGGAGGGUGACCGGCCACAUUGGGACUGAGAUACGGCCCAGACUCCAACGGGAGGCAGCGGUGGAGAAUAUUGCACAGUGGGCGGAAGCCUGAUGCGGCGGCGCCGCGUGCGGAAUGACGGCCUUCGGGUUAUAAACCGCUUUCGCCUGUGACGAAGCGUGAGUGACGGUAAUGAAUAAAGAAGCACCGGCUAACUACGUG
RNAcentral lists this ribosomal RNA (468 nucleotides) under uncultured bacterium. RNAcentral describes it as "partial 16S ribosomal RNA". It matches the Rfam family "Bacterial small subunit ribosomal RNA", at positions 28 to 507 of the family's 1533-position model. The record is from RNAcentral.